RNAcentral lists this ribosomal RNA (482 nucleotides) under Cutaneotrichosporon dermatis. RNAcentral describes it as "eukaryotic LSU rRNA". The stretch from base 111 to 264 matches the Rfam family "5.8S ribosomal RNA". The record is from RNAcentral. Lineage: Eukaryota; Fungi; Basidiomycota; Tremellomycetes; Trichosporonales; Trichosporonaceae.
GCUCUUUGAGCGUUAACUAUAUCCAUCUACACCUGUGAACUGUUGAUUGACUUCGGUCAAUUACUUUUACAAACAUUGUGUAAUGAACGUCAUGUUAUUAUAACAAAAAUAACUUUCAACAACGGAUCUCUUGGCUCUCGCAUCGAUGAAGAACGCAGCGAAAUGCGAUAAGUAAUGUGAAUUGCAGAAUUCAGUGAAUCAUCGAAUCUUUGAACGCAACUUGCGCUCUCUGGUAUUCCGGAGAGCAUGCCUGUUUGAGUAUCAUGAAAUCUCAACCAUUAGGGUUUCUUAAUGGCUUGGAUUUGGGCGCUGCCACUUGCCUGGCUCGCCUUAAAAGAGUUAGCGUAUUAACUUGUCGAUCUGGCGUAAUAAGUUUCGCUGGUGUAGACUUGAGAAGUGCGCUUCUAAUCGUCUUCGGACAAUUCUUGAACUCUGGUCUCAAAUCAGGUAGGACUACCCGCUGAACUUAAGCAUAUCAAUAA